Molecule: microRNA precursor, 98 nt
Filed under: Loxodonta africana (African savanna elephant)
Lineage: Eukaryota; Metazoa; Chordata; Mammalia; Proboscidea; Elephantidae
Description: mir-544 microRNA precursor family
Rfam family: mir-544 microRNA precursor family
Source: Rfam by way of RNAcentral
AUCACCUGAGGAUCUUGCUAAAAUGCGGAGUCUGGUUUUGUGGGUCUGGGGAGGGGCCCGAGAGUCUGCAUUUCUAAUAAGCUCCCAGGUGAUGCUGA